RNAcentral lists this long non-coding RNA (800 nucleotides) under Callithrix jacchus (white-tufted-ear marmoset). RNAcentral describes it as "lncRNA (ENSCJAG00000060600.2)". The record is from RNAcentral. Lineage: Eukaryota; Metazoa; Chordata; Mammalia; Primates; Cebidae.
CCAGGUUUCAGGUGAUUCUUCUGACUCAGCCUCCUGAGUAGAGUAGCUGGGAUUACAAGCUCCCGCCACUACUCCUGUGUAAUUUUUUUUUUUUUUUUCAGUAGAGACGGGGUUUCACCGUGUUGGGCAGGCUGCUGCUCUGGAACUCCUGGCCUCAAGUGAUCCCCCAACCUUGGCCUCCCAAAGUGCUUGGAUUAUAGGUGCAAGCCACCUCGCCCUGCCGACUGCAUCCAGUUUUUACCAGAUCCUGUUUCCAUAAAUGGGAGUCCUGACCUUGUGACCAAAAACCAAGUUCUGCUGGCAUCGUACCUCAUCUUCUUUUCCAUAUUAAUAGUUAUAUCCAAUUAGCUAGUGUCCUGGGUACAAAUAGUUACCUACAGCACUAACUCAUUCUAUCUACAAUAGAUCACACUGUAGUGCUGAAAAGAAAGAAUAUUGAUUCAACUUCCUGGAUUGAUCGACUUUUCUUCAGCAGAGAAUUUAGAAUUGAAAAGAACGUGAUUGGCAACUUCCUGCCUUCAACUAGAUGUAAAGGCUAUAGAGACCUCGGUGACUGAAGCGGUAGGAGACAAUGAGAAGAAAAUACGGCCUGAACCGGAGCAGGGAGCGGGGGCAGAAGAAGAAAGUCACGUCUGCCCUGGAGAGGCUGACCCCAUGUUCACCAAGAACCUGAUGAAGGCCUGCGGUGGCCACCAGGAGUCCUGGCAGCCACAGCCUGAGGAGUCGGCCCAGGACUCCUCCUCCUCUGAGCCGCAGCCCCAAGAUCAGCAGCAUCCCUUUGUCCCUGUUGGAUUCAGUGG